UGUGGGAGCGAGCCUGCUCGCGAUAGCGGUGUGCCAGGCACCUUGAUGCUGAAGGUACUGGCGCAUUCGCGAGCAGGCUCGCUCCCACA
Molecule: unclassified non-coding RNA, 89 nt
Filed under: Pseudomonas mediterranea
Lineage: Bacteria; Pseudomonadati; Pseudomonadota; Gammaproteobacteria; Pseudomonadales; Pseudomonadaceae
Source: RNAcentral